This 2311-nucleotide long non-coding RNA is filed under the name Equus caballus (horse). Its description in RNAcentral is "lncRNA (ENSECAG00000050233.1)". Lineage: Eukaryota; Metazoa; Chordata; Mammalia; Perissodactyla; Equidae. The record is from RNAcentral.
GUUAAAGUUCGGCAUGCUCUGCUUCGGCGGCCCCAGUCCACUUCCCAGUCGCGGAACCACACCACCCAUCUGUCAUUGCCGUGCUGUGGUGGCAGCUCAGAUAGAAGAACUAGAAUGACCUAUAACUAGGAUAUGCAACCAUGUUCUGGGGGCUUUGGUGAGAAAAAAGAAAAGAGGAAGAUUUGGCAAUAGAUGUUAGCUCAGGGCAAAUCUUUCCCUGCAAAAAAAAAAGAAAGUUAAACAAACUUACCAUGUGGCCCAGCAAUUCUACUCCCAGGUCCCUGUCUAAGAGAAACAAAAACGUACGUCCACACAAAGGUUUGUGAGUCAGUGUUCAUAGCAGCAUUGUUCACGAGAGGCAAAAACUGGAAACCACCUAGAUGCCCAUCAACUGAUUAACAGGCAAAGUGUGGGAAAUCCAUAUGCUGGAACCCCAUUCACCGAUAAAAAGGAACAAACUAAUGGCGGUGCUGCCAUAUGGAUGAAUGGCAGAGAUGCUGAGAUAAGCGAGAGAACCGACACAGAGACCACCUGGUGUGUGAUCGCACGCACGUGAAAUGUCCAGACAAGGCGAACUGACAGGCAAAUAACCUUCCUGAGGACAGAUGCUGAGCCUUGACUCUCAGACUCCGGGAGCAAAGUCCACCUCCUGCGGGACGCAAUGACGGCUUGCUGCCUUCACAGAUAAGUGCGAUGGGAAGGCAGAGCCCAGCAGAAGGAGAAUUUGGUUCCAUUCCUGAGGUCUUUGACUGGGACCUACAUGAGUGCGAGAAUAAUGAAAAAGAGAGAGAGAAGGGGGCAAGAGUACACCAGGGUGUUUAAUAGAGUGUGAUCGUAUCCUGUAAAUAAGACAGUGCUGACAAAAGGAAGAAAAGCCCGCCCCUGUGUGAAUGAACUGAGUAAACAGCUUACUCCUUCUGCCAAAAGGUUGGCAAGGAGUAGAAAGUAAGAAGAAGGAAAAUACCAGCAAAUGAGAGCCUUGGUUCGGGAAUGCAAUGUAUCUGGAGAACAAAAUUAUGGCAUAUGAAAGGCGGGGGAGAGGAAGGGAGGGAGGAGGAAAGGAGAAAAAGGGAGAGGGGAGAAAGAGAGAGGUCAGGGAGGGAGGCAGAGAGGAGGAAGGGCAGAAGCAGCCAGACCCUGGAGGGCCGGGCAGGCCAAGAGGACCUGGGCUCCUGGCUGAAUGGGGCAGAGCAAUGACAGGAGAACGUGUGUCAACACGAUAAUAAUAGGCUUCACUUGGGAGUGUGGGGACGAGGUGAGUUCACAGUGCAAAGUCAGAGCACAGUGACACUCAGUAAGCACCAACCGCCAGUCAGCAUCAUGGUCCCGAUUUUAGCCCCUAACACUUUGAGCCCAGAGAGGGGAAGUCUCGCUUGCUCAGGGCCACAGCUGUCCGUCUUGUGGCCACGGGGAGCCAGCCUGAGCAAGCGCCGCCCUGGAGGGGGAGGCCCCGGGAUGGGGGCCGGCUCCCUGCAGGCAGGGGUGCCAGGCAGUAAAGGAUGGGCGGGGCACAGGGAGACCCAGACUGUGCCACCCACCACCUCCACGUCCUUGUCCCCUGAGCCUUGUUCUUCACCUGCAGAUGGGGGAGUAGCAGCGACACCUCCUACAGGGGUCGUCAAGGGGACAGAGGAAGGCAGAGCCUGUGAAGUCCCCAGCCCAGGGCCUCACAGACAGUGCCACCUAUUCAGCUUCCUUUAUUUGACAGAUGUUUAUUGGCAUGUGCCACAGGCCACACCACCAGGACACUGGGGACACAAGGUGAACAAGACACACUUCUCCAGACCACACGCGCGCACGCGCACGUGCACACACCGCCCCCCCCACCAUUGUCAAAACACUAAAUUCCAGAAAGUGAUGGAGAGCAGCGCUGUGAGAUUUAAAAACAGAGACUCUGGGCAACCUUUCUCCCACCCUACAGGCCACAUGGCGGCCACCCCCGCCCAGCUGCUGGGAGGAGCCCAGAGCCGUGGGGCUCAGCCCUGGCUCCACACCGGAACCUUCUGGGUUCAAAGUCCUGACCCAUGGGUCCUAUCCCCAGAGCUUCCAGUGAGGCCUGUGUUGCCGAGGGACCUGCACAGACGGGAUAGGUGCCCGACACACGCUCACUGAAUGGCUGACAUAUGCACCGGGCUUCCCUGGAUGGAGCUGGGAGCCCCCCCACCCCCCCACGGCGGUGCUCCCGGAGCGUGGAUGGAGGGGGACACGCACAAUUUUCAAUGUCUGUGCUUCCCAGCAUAGGCUUCCUCACUCCGAGCAGAUAUCACUUUAAAAGUUAAUUAAAAGAAAAUGAUUUGCCAGCUGUUCAAGA